RNAcentral lists this ribosomal RNA (640 nucleotides) under Microchloropsis gaditana. Its description in RNAcentral is "SSU rRNA". The record is from RNAcentral. Lineage: Eukaryota; Eustigmatophyceae; Eustigmatales; Monodopsidaceae.
GGUAACGCGUGAGAAUUCGCCUUUAGGAGGGGGAUAACGGAUGGAAACAUUCGCUAAAACCCCAUGUGCCCUYGGGUGAAAAAGAGAAAGUAAGUCAUACUGAUUUAUCUCUGCCUGAAGAGAAGCUCGCGGCUGAUUAGCUAGUUGGUAGGGUAAAGGCCUACCAAGGCGACGAUCAGUAGCUGGUCUGAGAGGACGAUCAGCCACACUGGAACUGAGACACGGUCCAGACUCCUACGGGAGGCAGCAGUGAGGAAUUUUCUGCAAUGGGCGAAAGCCUGACAGAGCAAUACCGCGUGGGGGAUGAAGACUUACUGAGUUGUAAACCUCGGUACCCUAAGGAAGAAGAUAUGACGGUACUUAGGGUGGAAAGCAUCGGCUAACUCCGUGCCAGCAGCCGCGGUAAGACGGGGGAUGCAAGUGUUAUCCGGAUUUACUGGGCGUAAAGCGUCUGCAGGUGGUUUCUUAAGUCUACUGUUAAAUCUUGAGGCUCAACCUCAAAUCUGCAGUAGAAACUAGGAGACUUGAGUAUAGUAGGGGUAGAGGGAAUUUCCAGUGGAGCGGUGAAAUGCGUAGAUAUUGGAAAGAACACCGAUGGCGAAGGCACUCUACUGGGCUAUUACUGACACUCAGAGACGAA